This 252-nucleotide ribosomal RNA is filed under the name uncultured bacterium. Its description in RNAcentral is "partial 16S ribosomal RNA". It matches the Rfam family "Bacterial small subunit ribosomal RNA", at positions 525 to 776 of the family's 1533-position model. The record is from RNAcentral.
ACGGAGGGUGCAAGCGUUAUCCGGAAUCACUGGGUUUAAAGGGUGCGUAGGCGGUUAGAUAAGUUAGAGGUGAAAGGUUGUCGCUUAACGAUAAAAUUGCCUUUAAUACUGUUUAACUUGAAUUAGGUUAAGGUAGGCGGAAUGUGACAUGUAGCGGUGAAAUGCAUAGAUAUGUCAUGGAACACCAAUUGCGAAGGCAGCUUACUAGACCUUGAUUGACGCUGAGGCACGAAAGCGUGGGUAGCGAACAGG